GACGAACCAUGCAAACGUUAUUCGGAUUCACUGGGCUUAAAGCGUGCGUAGGCGGCGAUGUUAGUCAGGUGUGAAAGCCCUCAGCCCAACUGAGGAAUUGCGCUUGAUACUGCAUUGCUAGAGAAUGAUAGAGGUGGGUGGAACUGAUGGUGGAGCGGUGAAAUGCGUAGAUAUAGGAAGGAACACCAGUGGCGAAGGCGACUACCUGGACUGAUACUGACACUGAGGUGCGAAAGCGUGGGGAGCAAACAGGAUUAGAACGUC
Molecule: ribosomal RNA, 264 nt
Filed under: uncultured bacterium
Lineage: Bacteria
Description: partial 16S ribosomal RNA
Rfam family: Bacterial small subunit ribosomal RNA
Source: RNAcentral